This 497-nucleotide ribosomal RNA is filed under the name uncultured bacterium. RNAcentral's name for it is "partial 16S ribosomal RNA". It matches the Rfam family "Bacterial small subunit ribosomal RNA", at positions 28 to 507 of the family's 1533-position model. The record is from RNAcentral.
GAUGAACGCUGGCGGCGUGCCUAAUACAUGCAAGUCGAGCGAACAGACGAGGAGCUUGCUCCUCUGACGUUAGCGGCGGACGGGUGAGUAACACGUGGAUAACCUACCUAUAAGACUGGGAUAACUUCGGGAAACCGGAGCUAAUACCGGAUAAUAUAUUGAACCGCAUGGUUCAAUAGUGAAAGACGGUUUUGCUGUCACUUAUAGAUGGAUCCGCGCCGCAUUAGCUAGUUGGUAAGGUAACGGCUUACCAAGGCAACGAUGCGUAGCCGACCUGGGAGGGUGAACGGCCACACUGGAGCUGAGACACGGUCCAGACACCUACGGGAGGCAGCAGUAGGGAAUCUUCCGCAAUGGGCGAAAGCCUGACGGAGCAACGCCGCGUGAGUGAUGAAGGUCUUCGGAUCGUAAAACUCUGUUAUUAGGGAAGAACAAAUGUGUAAGUAACUAUGCACGUCUUGACGGUACCUAAUCAGAAAGCCACGGCUAACUACGUG